UUCCCAGACCAGGGAUUGAACCUGGGCCACGGCAGUGAAAGUGCCAAAUCCUAACCACUAGACCACCAGGGA
Molecule: transfer RNA, 72 nt
Filed under: Eschrichtius robustus (grey whale)
Lineage: Eukaryota; Metazoa; Chordata; Mammalia; Artiodactyla; Eschrichtiidae
Description: tRNA-Glu
Source: RNAcentral